UGGCGGCGUAGCUCAGCUGGCUAGAGCGUUCGGUUCAUACCCGAAAGGUCGGGGGAUCGAUUCCCUUCGCCGCUAU
Molecule: transfer RNA, 76 nt
Filed under: compost metagenome
Description: tRNA-Met
Rfam family: tRNA
About the family: Transfer RNA (tRNA) molecules are approximately 80 nucleotides in length. Their secondary structure includes four short double-helical elements and three loops (D, anti-codon, and T loops).
Source: RNAcentral